This 500-nucleotide ribosomal RNA is filed under the name uncultured bacterium. RNAcentral describes it as "partial 16S ribosomal RNA". It matches the Rfam family "Bacterial small subunit ribosomal RNA", at positions 30 to 523 of the family's 1533-position model. The record is from RNAcentral.
AUUGAACGCUGGCGGCAUGCCUUACACAUGCAAGUCGAACGGCAGCACGGGAGCAAUCCUGGUGGCGAGUGGCGAACGGGUGAGUAAUAUAUCGGAACGUGCCCAGUCGUGGGGGAUAACGUAGCGAAAGCUACGCUAAUACCGCAUACGAUCUAUGGAUGAAAGCGGGGGAUCGCAAGACCUAGCGCGAUUGGAGCGGCCGAUAUCAGAUUAGGUAGUUGGUGAGGUAAAGGCUCACCAAGCCGACGAUCUGUAGCUGGUCUGAGAGGACGACCAGCCACACUGGGACUGAGACGCGGCCCAGACGCCUACGGGAGGCAGCAGUGGGGAAUUUUGGACAAUGGGCGCAAGCCUGAUCCAGCAAUGCCGCGUGCAGGAUGAAGGCCUUCGGGUUGUAAACUGCUUUUGUACGGAACGAAACGGCGAGCUCUAAUACAGUUUGCUAAUGACGGUACCGUAAGAAUAAGCACCGGCUAACUACGUGCCAGCAGCCGCCGCCG